CUUAUACUCCCUCCGUUUCAAAUUACUUGUCGGAGAAACGGAUGUAUCAAGAACUAAAAUACAUUUAGAUACAUCCAUACCUACGACAAGUAAUUCGGAACGGAGGGAAUAGUUU
Non-coding RNA from Triticum aestivum (bread wheat), 115 nucleotides. The record is from Rfam. Lineage: Eukaryota; Viridiplantae; Streptophyta; Magnoliopsida; Poales; Poaceae.